GAGCUGCUGCUGCAGGCCUACACCACAGGCACCGCAACACCAGAUCCAAGCUUCAUCUGUGACCUACACAGUGGCUUUUGGCAAUGCUGGAUCCUUAACCCACUCAGCGAGGCCACGGAUUGAACUCACACCCUUACAGACAUUAUGUCAGGUUCUUAACCCACUGAGCCACAAUGGGAAUUCAGAAAUUAACUAAAGUUAAGUAAUUAGGAGUUAGGCUAAAAUCUCUUUACCCAAAAUGUAAACAAUAAAAUAUUAAUUUAACUUGGUCUCUCCAAUUUCUCACUCUUCCUUUCCUGCCUCCUUAUGGACUGGAGGGGUUAUUUUAAUUGCUAAAGACCUAUGAGGUUUGAUGCUGAUUAUAUGUACAAUCAUACCAAAUACGUAAAUGUGAAGAUCACUGAAAACCGGGGGAAAAAGAAAGACGGCUCCUGGAUUAGAACGUGAAGCGCAGAGAAAACAUCACCAAAACUUUUGCCUCUGCCCUGAGUAGGGGUCAAGACAAGUAAAGGCAAGGCUGACAUCAACGGCCCCUGAGGUAUAAAAAGUCACCCCUUGGUGCUGGUCAUGAGUACUCCUACCUUUGCAGACUAUCACGAUGGUGGUCUACCUGCUAACUAGAAGGGCAGAGGGCACUGGAAUCAUAUGGUCUAGGUUCAAAUAAAUCAUGGGUCAAGCAUUUAUUAGCUAUGUGACCAUGAAAAUCUUAGUGUAAAGGAAAGUAAUAAUACUGAAUAUCACCUAUAAACCUCAUUUAAUUGUGAGAAUUCAAGGAGAUCCUUUGAAUUCAAUGAACCCAAAGUACUUAGAGUGUCUGGCACGCGGCAACUGUUAAAAUGUUAUUAUGGGGUUACAGCUGCUCUUAGAGACGGAGCCGGGUCCUUGAUCACUCCAAUCCUGAAUGACACCAGAGGAUACAGCCAACCUAGAAUGCAAGGGAACUGUUCUGGAUGACCAUGACUCAGUCAAGGUUGCCCUGUAUUAACCUAACCCCUUGAGUCUAGGUUGAGAUCACUGUACACAAGGGGCACAGGAAAGAGUGCCUGCUUGCACUUCCUUAAUGAAAUUUCCUCAUUAAUUGAUAAUUGUUAUGCACGGCAUGUUUCUGUCUCCCCCAAAUUCAUGUGUUGCUAUAAGAGGGGGCUUCUAAGGAAGUAGUUAAGAGUUAAAUGAGGCCAUAAGAGUGGGCUUCUACCCUUAUAAAAGACAUCAGAGUGCGCUUGCGCUCUCUCUCUCUCUCUCUCUCUCUCUCUCUCUCUCUCUCUCUCUCUCACACACACACACACACACACACACACAGUGCACAGUGAGAGGGUGAUCAUCUACAAGCCAAGAGAAGAGGUCUCAGUGAGACCUACCUUGCUGACACCUCGAUCUUGACACCUCCAAUAAAUAAAUACAUUUGUGGUGUAAGCCACUCGGUCAGUGGUAUUUUGUUAUGGCAGACCGAGCCGACCAAUACAAUAAUUUAACACAGUCUUACAAAAGUACAUCAAAUUUUUGGGAUGAGGGAGAAAAGGUGCCAUGAAAAAAAUUCUGUGUUUUGAUUCAGGAAAUCCAUACUCCUGCACCAGUUGUCACAUCUUGUAGUCAUGUAAUCUUGGCCAAUUUAGUUAACCUUUUAGAUCCUUCUUUCUUUGCCCAGAAAAUGAAGACAAUAAUUCCUCCUAACCAGGGCUGUUGUAACCAGAUGUCUGUCAUAGUAGGUACUCAAUAAAUUGAUUUUCAAAAGAUAACAGGAUCAAGGGGAAAUCCUGCCAGGAAGAGACCAUAAUAAUUAUUGUAUCUCAUAAUUCUGUAUUAUCACCUAAAGCAGAACAUUAUAAUACUCACACUGCGCUUCACUGUAUUAAUAUUAAGGAAAUAUUUACUGAUGGCCUGAAUGUUUAUUCUUUUUUUGUUUGUUUUUUGCCCUCUUGUCUUUUUAGGGCCACACCCAUGGCAUAUGGAGGUCAAAUUGGAGCUGUAGCGGCUGGCCUACACCACAGCCAUAGAACUCGGGAUCCAAGCCGGGUCUGCGACCUACACCACAGCUCAGCUCAUGGCAAUGUUAGAUCCUUAACCCACGAGCAAGGCCAGGGAUUGAACCGGUGUCCUCAAGGAUACUAGUCUGGUUCAUUAACCACUGAGCCAAGAGGGGAACUCCUGAAUGUUUAUUCUUUUCUUACAGUAUCAUUAGUGACUGAGACGACUUUUUCAGUGUUUUAAUCAAUAAUUUAUCAAAGAACAUUGAUGAGUCUGUGCUAUGUUUGGGUUUCCAAUUCAAUGAAUACCCAAAUACACACGGCUUGCUAUGAUGGACAAGGCAAGGUGUCUAUUCUAGUUUAUUUAAUAGUUAAAAAGGAGCUGUGUGGCUUACAAUUUUUAAUUGUCUACGCAAAGUGAAGACAUAUGAGAAAAAUUUAUCUGGUAUCAGUAUCGAGGUGAACUUUAUUUUUACUGAAAACUGGCUUUACAGACUCUACAUUUUAAGCCUAUUUAGUGUCCCUUUUUUAGGUUGGCUGCUAGAAAGCGAAGAUCUAAAUUCGGGGCCUCUCUCUAGGGAGUAUCUAGGCCUUGUUGGCAUGAAUUUUGAUCAUUCACAUCACUUCUAACUUCAAGUACCAUCCCCACCUUUGUUUCCCAUUGUCUCAUGCUCACGCUUACUAAUUUAUCCACAUACACACCUCAAUCACCAGGACUAUUACAAAAAGACAUAAUAAAUGUAGCUAGGAACUGUUUUCAAAAUUGAAUCUAUUUGUAUAUUUCAAUAGCCUUUGGGCAGCAUGGCUGUGAAAAGCAACUGGUUCCAGGUACAAAACAAGUAAUGUCAAACCUUGCCAAAUAUUUUCUUUUCCUUUAGCCUUCAACUGUAUUGAUUCCAAGAAAAGAAAGGAUUUCAUAAAUACAACAGAAAAAGUACCUGUAACACAACUCAAGAAAAACAUUAAUUAUUCUUCCUUCUCUAAGGAAUUGCAUAUGAAUAAUAUGGAAAUAAUAUGGUCAAAUUAUAUUAUCUUUGAGACAUGGUCAAAUUUCCAGCUACUGUCAAGUCUCAGCAGCAGACAUGGUUAAGUGCAUCUGACAUAUUCUUGGACACAGAUAACUUUCUCUGGCAGAUCCUACACGCAGAUCCUGUGCAGUGUAUUGAAAGGGUGGGAUGAAUGUUUUUUAUUUGUUGAACAUCCAUAGGUUAUAAAAUCAGAUGUGAACAAUGUCCUUUAACAAGUUUAGAAUUCAUUUGAUCAGAAAGAUUUCAAGUCUCAAAUCAACCUCUAUGUUAAAGGUAAAAGCAUCAUCUAUCAUAAAUGUUACUAAAAUUUUAAACAAUGAAUUAGAAUCUAAAUACCAUUUUCAAUGACAAUUUGAUUAACCAAUCACAUAUGAUUUAAUUUAAUCUUUGGUUUUCAAUACAUCUAAAUGCUGGAGAAUGUGUGUUUGGGUUCAUAAUUUUGGGAAAACCUUCAACACUGACCGAUAUCUAACAUGGGCAGAUUAGCUUGAUUUCUGUAUUCUUUACACCUGUAUAAAUAAUCUGAAGAACACGACUUAAUGCAACCAGCAGUAAUUCACCUUGAAAAAAAUUAUAAUUAAAUCUUUGAAAUGUGCUUUUGUUUCAGUUUUGAAAGCAGUUUGCCAAAAUCUGCAGGCCCACAAAUGGCCUUAAUUCAUACACUGUUCACUGACUCCACAUUUACUGGUGGUAUUUGGAACCUCACUUUCAUUCUCUCUGAUAUAUCUCUGAAGGGAAAAUAAUUUGUUUAAAAAUCUUAUUAUGAAUUCUUCCUUAGCGCAGCUUCUCAUCAAAACAAACGAAAGUAGAGAAAAAUAAGCAAAAACAAUCAAGCAAAAAAAAACACAAAGGAGAUUACAAAAUUAAAUAUUUUAUCAUACCGUCUAAUUUAUCAGGCUUGCUCUGAUUUCAUUAAAGGCCUUAGACAAGGUGCCAGAACUAAUUUUAUUGCAGCAUCUGCUCUCUGCUUUGAACAGGGGUAUACAAGCAAAUUGUAAUAUUGCUUUUAAUCAAUAAUGAACAGUAGAGAGAAGAAAAUGCUUUAAUAAUGCCUUAAGUAUAUACAUUAUUUUGUUCCUCAAAGCUUAUCAUUUCAUCCUCAUAAUAUCCUUAUAAUGUGCGAGGAGCAUGUGGAAACUGAGAGUCAGAAAGGUUAAGCAAUUGUCAAAGCAUGCUUUCAAAAUGACACAAUCAAAUCAGUGAGUAGUGCCCUGGGCUCCUGUCUCCUAGCACAAGGCCAUUUCUGAGGACCACAAAGGAUGCUAUAAACCAGUUUUAAGAAACCAUGCAUGGGAUUUGUGGGCAGAAGACAUAGGUGUAAGACAUCCUCUGCCACAACUGACCUUGGGUGUGGUUCCCUUACCUUCUCUGGGCUUAAAUUUCCUCAAAUGUAAAAUGUGGAAAAUAAAGGUGCCAGCCCCAUUUUUAUACCACUCAGUUGGUGAGCCAAAAAUUGAGGUGACAUGUGAACGUGGGGGACACGACAAUUUUAAGCCACCAAACAGUAGAUGUUGAUGUUGAUCCUAGGGGACAAAUCAGUCCUGUUGGUAAAGAAACAAAAACAGAUGAAAUUAAAAGGCCUGAGCCCUAGCUAAUACUCUGUACUUCCUUAAGGGCCCUGACUAAGACUAAGACUUAUCUCCAAAGUAACCCAUCAGAAAUCUUUCUACCCAAAUAAUGUGAAUUUAUUCUAUGGUUAAUCCAGGUCAGCCAAAACCUUCCCUCCACAUCCAAAUUAUAUUCAUUUUAUGUUUUAAUGAGAAAUCACUUUAGCAUCCACCCAACUGUGAGAUUCCAUUCACAAGGACCUGCAAUGGCGGGGAGACUCUCUACACGCGUGUCCCACCAAGCUGUGGGGGGAAGGUGCGUCCUGUAAGGGAGGUUUACUGUGCGUCCAGCGCAGGCCCUGCAACAUCUCCACCCCGGAAGCUGAAAAAGGCAUCACUUCUGCUGUGUCUGGCACAGUCUACGGUAAGGCUUAACCUUCAGUUUAGUAAACAGGAGGGCACCCAUGAAAAAGACACCACCAGGAUCACUAGAGGAGUUCUUAAUUGUUGAGAAUCACUGAUACCCUUAAAAACCCUGAACUGUUCACAUCUGCUUGUCCAUAAAAAUGACAGAACUCCAAGUUGGAAGACACACACCAGAUUCACCCUCAGUGUUUUCUCCUGCGUUUGGACCAUGGCCCUUUGGAUGAUUGCCGUGCCUUCUCUUCAAAUUUCUUAACAAUAAAAUCCAUUUUUCAGAACCUGGAGAUGCGUAAACAGGAGGGUGGAAACACUGUAAUAAAUAAGCCUCUGGAAAACCUUAUUGCAUUGCUUGCUCCUUGACUUGUUCCAUAAAAUAGAUCUUCCUUUCUUUUCUCCGCAUGGAGAAAGAGGCACAGAGAGUGGAACUCCUUACUCAUGAGAAAAAAAAGCAAGAGAAAAGACAUAAUACGGACACAGUACUCAGAACCAAAAAAUUCAAGCACAUCAUAUGGAAAAUAUUUAUAAAUAGUACCACCUCACCAAGGGUUUACUAUAAAUGGAGGGUUUCCAUAUUAAUGUCAGCUUAUUUUCUCUGACAAAAACAUCUCAAGGAAAAUUUCAAGUGACUAUGUUACUAAUUCAUUUAAUUUCUAUGAGAUACAAAAUAAGGGUAGAGUAGAAAACAUUUAUACUUAAAGGUUCUGGAUGGAAAAUUUUUAUUUUUAUUAGGCAUUAAUUAAACUUGACCUACACAAGUGAAUCCACAUCGAACUAAAACAUUUAGUUCUAAAUUGUUUCACUACCCUUUCUUUCAUGGAACAAAGAAAAUAGCUGUAACUCAUCAAAAGCAAUAAAUUUGAAAUGCU
Molecule: long non-coding RNA, 5828 nt
Filed under: Sus scrofa (pig)
Lineage: Eukaryota; Metazoa; Chordata; Mammalia; Artiodactyla; Suidae
Description: lncRNA (ENSSSCG00000052043.1)
Source: RNAcentral